AUUGAACGCUGGCGGCAGGCUUAACACAUGCAAGUCGAGCGGGGGAAGGUAGCUUGCUACCGGACCUAGCGGCGGACGGGUGAGUAAUGCUUAGGAAUCUGCCUAUUAGUGGGGGACAACAUCUCGAAAGGGAUGCUAAUACCGCAUACGUCCUACGGGAGAAAGCAGGGGAUCUUCGGACCUUGCGCUAAUAGAUGAGCCUAAGUCGGAUUAGCUAGUUGUUGGGGUAAAGGCCUACCAAGGCGACGAUCUGUAGCGGAUCUGAGAGGAUGAGCCACAACACUGGGAAUGAGACACGGCCCAGACUCCUACGGGAGGCAGCAGUGGGUCAUAUUGGACAAUGGGGGGAAACCUGAUCCAGCCAUGCCGCGUGUGUGAAGAAGGCCUUAUGGUUGUAAAGCACUUUAAGCGAGGAGGAGGCUACUUUAGUUAAUACCUAGAGAUAGUGGACGUUACUCGCAGAAUAAGCACCGGCUAACUCUGUGCAAGCAGCCGCCGUAA
This 501-nucleotide ribosomal RNA is filed under the name uncultured bacterium. Its description in RNAcentral is "partial 16S ribosomal RNA". It matches the Rfam family "Bacterial small subunit ribosomal RNA", at positions 30 to 523 of the family's 1533-position model. The record is from RNAcentral.